Long non-coding RNA from Passer domesticus (house sparrow), 486 nucleotides. RefSeq lists it as uncharacterized. The record is from RefSeq and is a predicted model, not a curated record. The transcript has 3 exons. NCBI's taxonomy places the organism in Eukaryota, Metazoa, Chordata, Aves, Passeriformes, Passeridae.
UUCCACCUCCUGGGUAGGUUCAUUGAGAGUUUCCCACCCUUCCUUUGAUUGUCAGGGGUUUGAGUUUCACGUUUUCAGUUGGACACAGCACAGUGCUGCUCAGUGACUCUCAGCUGGCCCAGGAAGUGAAACAGAACUGGAAAACUUUAUGUGUGUAGAAGAUACUCAUCUAGUCCCUUUCCUGCUGUUUCCUCUCUGUGAAUAUUCCUCUUCACCACUUACUUGGCUGUUUCCUCAGCAUGUGUCCAAGCAAUGCCAGCACUGUUUGUGCCAAGUGCAAACAUGAAAAGAACUGGAAUUGUUUUAUAGUGCAGAGCUUGUAGAAAAUCAGUAAAUUCCAUGAAAGAUUUGAGUUGGGGAAGUAGAAUCCGUGAUGGUGUCAAUGAAGCUAAAACGAUGACUGUCACCUCCUUCAAUAGGGAGACAAGUCCCUGGAGGCAUGGAGGAAACAAAGUGAGAAGAAUAAAACAAUCCUCUUGGAGCAGG